UAGGGAAUCUUCCGCAAUGGACGCAAGUCUGACGGAGCAACGCCGCGUGAGUGAAGAAGGUUUUCGGAUCGUAAAACUCUGUUGUUAGAGAAGAACAAGUGCUAGAGUAACUGUUAGCGCCUUGACGGUAUCUAACCAGAAAGCCACGGCUAACUACGUGCCAGCAGCCGCGGUAAUACGUAGGUGGCAAGCGUUGUCCGGAAUUAUUGGGCGUAAAGCGCGCGCAGGUGGUUUAAUAAGUCUGAUGUGAAAGCCCACGGCUCAACCGUGGAGGGUCAUUGGAAACUGUUAAACUUGAGUGCAGGAGAGAAAAGUGGAAUUCCUAGUGUAGCGGUGAAAUGCGUAGAGAUUAGGAGGAACACCAGUGGCGAAGGCGGCUUUUUGGCCUGUAACUGACACUGAGGCGCGAAAGCGUGGGGAGCAAACAGGAUUAGAUACCCUGGUAGUCCACGCCGUAAACGAUGAGUGCUAAGUGUUGGUCUCAUAAGAGAUCAGUGCUGCAGCUAACGCAUUAAGCACUCCGCCUGGGGAGUACGACCGCAAGGUUG
RNAcentral lists this ribosomal RNA (548 nucleotides) under uncultured bacterium. RNAcentral's name for it is "bacterial SSU rRNA". It matches the Rfam family "Bacterial small subunit ribosomal RNA", at positions 355 to 896 of the family's 1533-position model. The record is from RNAcentral.